CUCGAGAAGCCCGGAGGCUCGUUCCCGAACGCCGGCAAGUGGUACCGUCAUUUGUGCUCUCCCACAAAGGAAUGCACAACAAUUACAAAGUUCAGCUGCAAAUUCGAAAGUACAUCUGCAAACCAAUUCGGUACCAAAGACAGAACUAGGAGGGUGGACGUCAGUGAAGUCAGCAAAGCAACUUUUGCUUCUAAUAUGCCAAUUAUGAAGCACGGGCAAAAAGAUGUGUUAUCAAACAGAAAGGUCAGGGUGGAUGAAAGAGACUGUCGACUUGCCAUUGAGUCGGAUGAGGAGAUUGACAGUGGAUUUCCUUGCUUGUUUGAUGACAGGGAGACGGGUAAAACUAAUUUCUAUUCCUUAUGGAAUGAUAAGUACCCGUCAGCUGCUACUAGUUGGGAAGUAAAUGGAAGUAUCACCAGAUUUACAAAGGCAUUCAGGACCAAGAUUAAGUCCAUCAGCUCCACUUAAGAUUGACA
Molecule: long non-coding RNA, 476 nt
Organism: Eucalyptus grandis
Lineage: Eukaryota; Viridiplantae; Streptophyta; Magnoliopsida; Myrtales; Myrtaceae
Exons: 3
Source: RefSeq, a predicted model, not a curated record